CCCUUAGAUGUUCUGGGCCGCACGCGCGCUACACUGAUACGUUCAGCAAGUCUACCACCUCGGCCGAGAGGCCCGGGUAAUCUUCUGAAAGCGUAUCGUGAUGGGGAUAGAUUAUUGCAAUUAUUAAUCUUCAACGAGGAAUUCCUAGUAAGCGCGAGUCAUCAGCUCGCGUUGAUUACGUCCCUGCCCUUUGUACACACCGCCCGUCGCUACUACCGAUUGGAUGGUUUAGUGAGACCCUCGGAUCGGUCCCGACUCGGGGUGGGCUUCUGCCCCGGUCGUGGUUUCGCCGAGAAGACGGUCAAACUUGACUAUCUAGAGGAAGUAAAAGUCGUAACA
Molecule: ribosomal RNA, 339 nt
Filed under: uncultured eukaryote
Lineage: Eukaryota
Description: partial 18S ribosomal RNA
Rfam family: Eukaryotic small subunit ribosomal RNA
Source: RNAcentral